RNAcentral lists this long non-coding RNA (2613 nucleotides) under Stegodyphus dumicola. RNAcentral describes it as "uncharacterized LOC118182206, transcript variant X3". Lineage: Eukaryota; Metazoa; Arthropoda; Arachnida; Araneae; Eresidae. The record is from RNAcentral.
CAUUCUCAUCCUCGCACAUGCAACACUCACUUUCUAUAGUUUAAAAAAUGAUUUUUCACACGAAAUGCACGUGAAACCGCGGAGGUAACGUACAUCCAUAAGCAAACGUUUAAUCGAAACCAAAACUUUACGCAGGACUAAACUCGAUUUAAACGUUUUGAAUGAUUAACCACAAGCCACAAUAUGCAAGCCUAAAAUAUUUUCGGCAAAUGUGUGAUUUACGAAGUAGAAAUACAACUAACGAAAUGUCCCUGAACUUCCCUAAAAGUAAGCAGUCGGAAAAGCUUAUUUUUAGCAUACUGCAAAGGCUGCAGGGAGGACGAACGUGCUUAACGUCGGUAUCAAACCACGAUUUUAAUUUUUUGAUUCAUACUGUUUCUGUAGUUGGGUCAUAUCAGAAAUUGCUUCGAAAUUAAUUUCGGGUGUACAACAGAAUAUUUUAUUACAAACUUGUAUUCGAAACGAUGGGCUCUAAAAGCGUAUUUCAGACGGUUUUCCACGCGCAACAGAAGCCAUGCCAUUGCCAGGAAAAAGACUUAGUGGUUCUCAGAUCGGAAAAGAAAACUACAGCAAGAAAAAGAAGCAUCAGAACUGCAAAAUCCAAAGCAACAUCAGGGCAUUCUAUACUUAUGAUGUCUGAUGACCCAGGUCUUGAAGUAUCUUCAGACAGGGAACUGUUCAGUGAGAAUCUGUCUGGUGAUCUUCGGAAUGCAGAAGAGUUGCGAAAGUACUGUCGUCUUUCCUGGAUACUAGCUGGACUACUUGGUUGAUACUGGACAACAGGAGCAUUUUCCUCAAUGGCCAUGCCAUUGCCAGGAAAAAGACUUAGUGGUUCUCAGAUCGGAAAAGAAAACUACGGCAAUAAAAAGAAGCAUCAGAGCUGCAAAGUGAUAAUGAAAUCAUAUUUAUUAAAAAAUCGCAAUAGAAAAAUCGCAGAGGAUAAUAAGAAUUAUGAAGGGAUAAAAUCGGAGUCAGAAUCAGAUUCAGGAGAAGUUUGCUUGGUAUACGUCCAGGGAUCUGGAACGGAUUAAUGACGUAUACUGAGGUACCAGUCUAAUUUGAAUAGUCCAUUCUGAGAGUAUCCACAUUUAUCGCACAUGUGUUGUUGCAGUAAUGGCUUAAGUUACAAUAAACAUUUCAUAAAUCUAAUCUCUACAAUGCCACGUAACUAGUAAGCAAUUUUAUUUGGAAUUUUGCCUGUCUUCUUCAAUAAGACAUUUAAAAGAAAUUGGAAACGCCCUAAAAAGUCUCUAAGUUUUUUUUUUUUUUUUUUUUUUUUUAAUUAUUUUCCGAUGGGGGCCCUUGCCUCUAAUGGCUCCUAACAUCAGAAGUGGUGCCCAUUUUAUUGUGGAGGCACCUAAAAGGCGGCCAUUGUUGCCUCUUAUGAAGGGACAGACAAUUUUACAUCCAUUCUUUCUACGGGAUUCGAACCUGGGCCCUUCGGUAUAGCAGUUAGGCUCCACUAACCGCUAUACCGGGGCUGCUCUGUACGUAAGUAAAUAAUAGUAAUACAUUAGAUCUCUUUCGAAACAAAUUAUUUAAAAAAUAAGUUCCUUAUAAGCAGUAACUGGAAUAAAUAAGUUAUGUAAAAUUUGAGAAAAAUAAUUUAGUUUUCUUUUCGUAAAUGUUUUUGGUUGCACUGGUAGAAGACAGUUAUUUAUUUAAUGCUUAAAUCUAUAAAUUUCUAUAUGUUCUAAAGUUCCCUUGGUAGAAUAAUCUUUCAAAACCCGAGAUUAAGUGAUUUUUCUCCUUUAGACUUAUUUUGUAAGAGAAAAUAAUAUAGCAAAUGAACGGUAGCAUCAGAUAUAUACCGUGAAAUUAAUCAAUUAAAUUCAAGUUGCGGAUGUAUUUCAUACAAUUUUGUCCGAAAAGAAAUAUUUAAAAGACAGUCUUUUCUACUUGAAUACAUCAUUAAUUCUCUCAUUUUUAAGAGUUCUCGAUUUUCUUAAGCAUUUUUUUUCCCAGAUUCGUUUCGAUAUUUCAAGCUCGAAGUUGAACAAUUAGAGCCAUUAAUAUGAAAGCAAUUCUUGAAAUAAAUGAUUUCCUUUGGAAAGACUUCAAAAGAGCUUUUGGAAAUAAAUGAAUCUUCUGUUCGUUGAAUCAUUACGUUGUUACUUCGUGUUUACGUUGGCAUUAGAGUAUAUUUGUACAUAAUGAGGACGAAGUCGAAUAGGAGAAUGAUUAGAUGCCAAACCAAAAGUAUAACCGCAGAAGCUAUUUUGCGAUCUUGUUCCUUUUCUAAGAAUUUUUCUACCGCAUUGACACAACGAUUAUAUCAUUAAACACUUAAGUCUCGUUCUUGAUUUAACACUUAGGAAUUAAGUGGAGACUUGAUGGCUGGCUGAAUAAAGUAUUUUGAACUGCGUUUUAUAUAUACGUAACUUAUAAGCGACUCUCUGAGAGCACUUCAUAAAAGCCGCACUUUAAGUAGGCAUAGUUUUUGUCAAACAGAAUAACAGAAAAAGAAAAAAACUGUGGAAUACCAGUUUUUAUUCAUAUGUGGAAAGGUAUUUAUACCACGUAAAUAAUGGACCAAGCAAAAUGAUGCUUUCAAAUAUCUGUAUUCAAUAAUUAAAUAUGUUACAUUGGUUCAAUAAAUAUCAUGCAGUGAAA